AACGCACAUUGCGCCCUUUGGUAUUCCGAAGGGCAUGCCUGUUCGAGCGUCAUUAUCACCCCUCAAGCCCCGUGCUUGGUGUUGGACGGCCGGUCGAGCGAUCGACCCCUCCUAAAGACAAUGACGGCGGCCUGUGGUUCCCCCGGUACACUGAGCUUUUAACUGAGCACGUAUCGGACAAGGGCACCCGGGACCCGGUCCUCUCCUUUAACUAGGAAACUUCUAAGGUUGACCUCGGAUCAGGUAGGAAUACGCGCUGAACUUAA
This 266-nucleotide unclassified non-coding RNA is filed under the name uncultured Cladophialophora. RNAcentral describes it as "sequence contains ITS2". The stretch from base 1 to 52 matches the Rfam family "5.8S ribosomal RNA", at positions 103 to 154 of the family's 154-position model. Lineage: Eukaryota; Fungi; Ascomycota; Eurotiomycetes; Chaetothyriales; Herpotrichiellaceae. The record is from RNAcentral.